GUCCUUGUUUCAGCAGCACAUGUUCUAAAAUUGGGAUGAUACAGAAAAGAUUAGUACGGCCCCUGAGCAGGGGUGACAUACAAGUUCCUGAAAUGUUCGGUUUUUGU
Molecule: small nuclear RNA, 107 nt
Filed under: Dasypus novemcinctus (nine-banded armadillo)
Lineage: Eukaryota; Metazoa; Chordata; Mammalia; Cingulata; Dasypodidae
Source: RNAcentral